CGGGGCGUGGCGCAGCCUGGUAGCGCGCCUGCUUCGGGAGCAGGAGGUCCGGAGUUCAAAUCUCCGCGCCCCGACCA
This 77-nucleotide transfer RNA is filed under the name Bryobacterales bacterium. Its description in RNAcentral is "tRNA-Pro". It matches the Rfam family "tRNA". From Rfam's summary of the family: Transfer RNA (tRNA) molecules are approximately 80 nucleotides in length. The record is from RNAcentral. Lineage: Bacteria; Pseudomonadati; Acidobacteriota; Terriglobia; Bryobacterales.